AUGGUCCUACGGGGGGCAGCAGUGAGGAAUAUUGGUCAAUGGACGAGAGUCUGAACCAGCCAAGUAGCGUGAAGGAUGACUGCCCUAUGGGUUGUAGCCUUCUUUUAUAAAGGAAUAAAACGAGGCACGUGUGCCUUUUUGCAUGUACUUUAUGAAUAAGGAUCGGCUAACUCCGUGCCAGCAGCCGCGGUAAUACGGAGGAUCCGAGCGAUAUCCGGAUUUAUUGUGUUUA
RNAcentral lists this ribosomal RNA (232 nucleotides) under uncultured bacterium. RNAcentral describes it as "partial 16S ribosomal RNA". It matches the Rfam family "Bacterial small subunit ribosomal RNA", at positions 333 to 562 of the family's 1533-position model. The record is from RNAcentral.